This 192-nucleotide non-coding RNA is filed under the name Candidatus Competibacteraceae bacterium. Its description in RNAcentral is "6S RNA". It matches the Rfam family "6S / SsrS RNA". Rfam says of the family: E. coli 6S RNA was the first non coding RNA to be sequenced, but its function was unknown until recently. It consists of 184 nucleotides that fold into an extended hairpin structure with a large single-stranded internal bulge. Lineage: Bacteria; Pseudomonadati; Pseudomonadota; Gammaproteobacteria; Candidatus Competibacteraceae. The record is from RNAcentral.
CGCUUUCUGUGGUGUUCGAGUAAUGGGCCGGGUAACCCCUUGAUCCUAGUUUAUUUUACCCAGGGAACAUGGCUGUCGAUGUAGGUGUGCAUGUCCGUCUCGUUACGGAAAGCCUGAAUAUGUCGCCCUGUUCCCCCACUUGAGCCGCAUGGUUCAAGGGCGAAGGCCCGAGACGGCACAGGCGGAGAGCGC